CUCUGUGGUUGUGCCCUUUUUUCCUAGACCCACUGCAUGACUGGCGGCUUCCUGCAUUCAGUAACAGUGUUGCGGAUUGAAGCAAGGAAAUAAGAGUGAGGAGGGAACUGGUUUGAGAGCUGAUUUACGAAAAGGACUACAAGAGAAGCCACCCAAGCACGACUGAAAAGAAUGACAAUAUUUACUGCUGGUACAGUAGGAGAAAAGACAGGCAGUGGAGGAUGAAUGGCACUUCCCCCUGGCACUUCCCCAGCCUUCCUGUUGGACAAGGAGCAAUGGCCAUCAACUAAAACAAAAGAAGUUCCACCUCAAC
This is a long non-coding RNA of Ficedula albicollis (Collared flycatcher), 313 nucleotides long. RefSeq lists it as uncharacterized. The record is from RefSeq and is a predicted model, not a curated record. The transcript is spliced from 3 exons. NCBI's taxonomy places the organism in Eukaryota, Metazoa, Chordata, Aves, Passeriformes, Muscicapidae.